GAUGAACGCUAGCGGCAGGCCUAACACAUGCAAGUCGAGGGGGAAGUUACUUUCGGGUGACUGAGACCGGCGUACGGGUGCGUAACGCGUAUACAAUCUGCCUUUCACUGGGGGAUAGCCCGAAGAAAUUUGGAUUAAUACCCCAUAGUAUAUAGGGACGGCAUCGUUUUUAUAUUAAAGCUUAGGUGGUGAAAGAUGAGUAUGCGUUCUAUUAGCUAGUUGGAGGGGUAACGGCUCCCCAAGGCGAUGAUAGAUAGGGGUUCUGAGAGGGAUGUCCCCUACACUGGUACUGAGAUACGGACCAGACUCCUACGGGAGGCAGCAGUGAGGAAUAUUGGACAAUGGUCGGAAGACUGAUCCAGCCAUGCCGCGUGCAGGAUGAAGGUCUUAUGGAUUGUAAACUGCUUUUGUAAGGGAAGAAUAAGGGCUACGCGUAGUUUGAUGACGGUACCUUACGAAUAAGCAUCGGCUAACUCCGUG
Molecule: ribosomal RNA, 480 nt
Filed under: uncultured bacterium
Lineage: Bacteria
Description: partial 16S ribosomal RNA
Rfam family: Bacterial small subunit ribosomal RNA
Source: RNAcentral